UACGAGGGGGGCGAGCGUUGUUCGGAAUUAUUGGGCGUAAAGGGUGCGUAGGCGGUUUGGUAAGUCUGAUGUGAAAUCUAUGGGCUCAACUCAUAGUCUGCAUCGGAAACUGCCGGGCUUGAGUAUGGGAGAGGUGAGUGGAAUUCCUGGUGUAGCGGUGAAAUGCGUAGAUAUCAGGAGGAACACCUGUGGCGAAAGCGGCUCACUGGACCAUAACUGACGCUGAGGCGCGAAAGCUAGGGGAG
Molecule: ribosomal RNA, 245 nt
Filed under: uncultured bacterium
Lineage: Bacteria
Description: partial 16S ribosomal RNA
Rfam family: Bacterial small subunit ribosomal RNA
Source: RNAcentral